Molecule: ribosomal RNA, 890 nt
Filed under: Staphylococcus pasteuri
Lineage: Bacteria; Bacillati; Bacillota; Bacilli; Caryophanales; Staphylococcaceae
Description: bacterial SSU rRNA
Rfam family: Bacterial small subunit ribosomal RNA
Source: RNAcentral
AUGCAGUCGAGCGAACAGAUAAGGAGCUUGCUCCUUUGACGUUAGCGGCGGACGGGUGAGUAACACGUGGAUAACCUACCUAUAAGACUGGGAUAACUUCGGGAAACCGGAGCUAAUACCGGAUAACAUAUUGAACCGCAUGGUUCAAUAGUGAAAGGCGGCUUUGCUGUCACUUAUAGAUGGAUCCGCGCCGUAUUAGCUAGUUGGUAAGGUAACGGCUUACCAAGGCAACGAUACGUAGCCGACCUGAGAGGGUGAUCGGCCACACUGGAACUGAGACACGGUCCAGACUCCUACGGGAGGCAGCAGUAGGGAAUCUUCCGCAAUGGGCGAAAGCCUGACGGAGCAACGCCGCGUGAGUGAUGAAGGUCUUCGGAUCGUAAAACUCUGUUAUCAGGGAAGAACAAAUGUGUAAGUAACUGUGCACAUCUUGACGGUACCUGAUCAGAAAGCCACGGCUAACUACGUGCCAGCAGCCGCGGUAAUACGUAGGUGGCAAGCGUUAUCCGGAAUUAUUGGGCGUAAAGCGCGCGUAGGCGGUUUUUUAAGUCUGAUGUGAAAGCCCACGGCUCAACCGUGGAGGGUCAUUGGAAACUGGAAAACUUGAGUGCAGAAGAGGAAAGUGGAAUUCCAUGUGUAGCGGUGAAAUGCGCAGAGAUAUGGAGGAACACCAGUGGCGAAGGCGACUUUCUGGUCUGUAACUGACGCUGAUGUGCGAAAGCGUGGGGGAUCAAACAGGAUUAGAUACCCUGGUAGUCCACGCCGUAAACGAUGAGUGCUAAGUGUUAGGGGGUUUCCGCCCCUUAGUGCUGCAGCUAACGCAUUAAGCACUCCGCCUGGGGAGUACGACCGCAAGGUUGAAACUCAAAGGAAUUGACGGGGACCCGCAC